GCAUGUUAUAAGGAUUAAAGUUUCGACGGCUACGGAUGGGCAUAUGUCCCAUUAGCUUGUUGGGGAGGUAACGGCUCACCAAGGCUACGAUGGGUAGGGGGCCUGAGAGGGUGAUCCCCCACACUGGUACUGAGACACGGACCAGAGUCCUACGGGAGGCAGCAGUGAGGAAUAUUGGUCAAUGGGCGAAAGCCUGAACCAGCCAUGCCGCGUGCAGGAUGACUGUCCUAUGGAUUGUAAACUGCUUUUCUGCAGGAAGAAACGCUUCUACGUGUAGAGGUUUGACGGUACUGCAGGAAUAAGCAUCGGCUAACUCCGUGCCAGCAGCCGCGGUAAUACGGAGGAUGCAAGCGUUAUCCGGAUUCAUUGGGUUUAAAGGGUGCGUAGGCGGAUUGGUAAGUCAAAGGUGAAAGUCUGUAGCUUAACUAUAGAAGUGCCUUUGAUACUGCUAGUCUUGAGUACAGUUGAGGCGAGUGGAAUGUGUAGUGUAGCGGUGAAAUGCAUAGAUACUACACAGAACACCAAUUGUGAAGACAGCUCGCUAAGCUGCUACUGACGCUCAGGCACGAAAGCGUGGGGAGCGAACAGGAUUAGAUACCCUGGUAGUCCACGCUGUAAACUAUGAUCACUAGCUGUUGGCGAUCAAUUGUUAGUGGCUGAGCGAAAGCGUUAAGGUGAUCCACCUGGGGAGUACGAUCGCAAGGUUGACACUCAAAGGAAUUGACGGGGGCCCGCACAAGCGGUGGAACAUGUGGUUUAAUUCGAUGAUACGCGAGGAACCUUACCUGGGCUUAAAUGUAGAACGACGUCCUGAGAAAUCGGGAUUCCCUUCGGGGCGGACUACAAGGUGCUGCAUGGUUGUCGUCAGCUCGUGCCGUGAGGUAUCGGGUUAAGUCCCAUAACGAGCGCAACCCCUAUUGUUAGUUGCCAGCGGAUAAUGCCGGGGACUCUAACAAAACUGCCCGUGUACACGGGAGGAAGGUGGGGAUGACGUCAAAUCAGCACGGCCCUUACGUCCAGGGCUACACACGUGUUACAAUGGCUGGAACAAAGGGCAGCUACCACGCGAGUGGAUGCUAAUCUCUAAAUCCAGUCUCAGUUCGGAUCGGAGUCUGCAAUUCGACUUCGUGAAGAUGGA
RNAcentral lists this ribosomal RNA (1138 nucleotides) under uncultured organism. RNAcentral describes it as "bacterial SSU rRNA". It matches the Rfam family "Bacterial small subunit ribosomal RNA", at positions 188 to 1330 of the family's 1533-position model. The record is from RNAcentral.